This 254-nucleotide ribosomal RNA is filed under the name uncultured bacterium. RNAcentral's name for it is "partial 16S ribosomal RNA". It matches the Rfam family "Bacterial small subunit ribosomal RNA", at positions 524 to 776 of the family's 1533-position model. The record is from RNAcentral.
UACGGAGGGUGCAAGCGUUGUCCGGAAUCACUGGGCGUAAAGGGCGCGUAGGCGGCUCAUGAAGGCUGUGGUGAAAGUCCGGGGCUCAACCUCGGAUCGGCCGUGGCGACUCGUGGGCUGGAGCACUGUAGAGGCGGGUGGAAUUCCGGGUGUAGCGGUGGAAUGCGUAGAGAUCCGGAAGAACACCAGUGGCGAAGGCGGCCCGCUGGGAUACUUGCUGACGCUGAGGCGCGACAGCGUGGGGAGCAAACAGG